Molecule: ribosomal RNA, 468 nt
Filed under: uncultured bacterium
Lineage: Bacteria
Description: partial 16S ribosomal RNA
Rfam family: Bacterial small subunit ribosomal RNA
Source: RNAcentral
GACGAACGCUGGCGGCGUGCUUAACACAUGCAAGUCGAACGGAAAGGCCCUGCUUUUGUGGGGUGCUCGAGUGGCGAACGGGUGAGUAACACGUGAGUAACCUGCCCUUGACUUUGGGAUAACUUCAGGAAACUGGGGCUAAUACCGGAUAGGAGCUCCUGCUGCAUGGUGGGGGUUGGAAAGUUUCGGCGGUUGGGGAUGGACUCGCGGCUUAUCAGCUUGUUGGUGGGGUAGUGGCUUACCAAGGCUCUGACGGGUAGCCGGCCUGAGAGGGUGACCGGCCACAUUGGGACUGAGAUACGGCCCAGACUCCUACGUGCGGCAGCAGUGGGGAAUAUUGCACAAUGGGCGGAAGCCUGAUGCAGCAACGCCGCGUGCGGGAUGACGGCCUUCGGGUUGUAAACCGCUUUCGCCUGUGACGAAGCGUGAGUGACGGUAAUGGGUAAAGAAGCACCGGCUAACUACGUG